This is a small nucleolar RNA of Tachyglossus aculeatus (Australian echidna), 138 nucleotides long. NCBI's taxonomy places the organism in Eukaryota, Metazoa, Chordata, Mammalia, Monotremata, Tachyglossidae. The record is from RefSeq and is a predicted model, not a curated record.
ACCCUCUCAGGAUCCUACUUAGAGAGUUUGCAGUACUUUACCAGUCUCGACUAAGGGAGGGAGAGUCAAGCAGAGGCAUACCCAUUCCAUUCCUAGCUCGGUCAAUGGCUAGUGAGUGGAAGGCAAUCUGCUACAAGU